UUAUUUCUAGGUGGUUUAACCUCUUUUCUAACAUCCUUUUUGAUUUCUUCACUUGUUUUAGGAUUAUCAAUACCACGUUUUUCUAGUGCUUUCCUAAGUUCUAUGUUCUCUGUUUUCAAAGAACUACAAGAAGAGCAAUUUGAACAUUGAUCAAUUGAAGAGACUUCAUUCAAUUCCUUGAUCUUAUUUUUAAAAACAACAUUGUCAUUUUCCAAAAAUUUGUUUUCUUUUUGAGCAAUUUGAACAUUGAUCAAUUGAAGAGGCUUCAUUCAAUUCCUUGAUCUUAUUUUUAAUAUCAACAUUGUCAUUUUCCAAAAAUUUGUUUUCUUUUUCUAAAGCUUCAAUUUAAUUUUUAAGAGCACUAAUGUCAUUAGUCAAUUUUUCAAAAUCUAUUUCUU
Molecule: long non-coding RNA, 398 nt
Filed under: Nicotiana benthamiana
Lineage: Eukaryota; Viridiplantae; Streptophyta; Magnoliopsida; Solanales; Solanaceae
Description: long non-coding RNA (NBEN_LNC035232)
Source: RNAcentral